GGAAAGUCUAUUAAAAAAAAAAAAUCAGAAGCAUCUCUCUGAGAAGCCCUUUCAAACAAAAUCAAAACAGGACCAGAGAAUCUCAGACUGUCUCUAAUAUCCCAACUGCGAGGCCCGCGGGCUGUGGAAUCUCGCACGUCACCUGGCCCCAGCAGGGCAGCCAGCUGAGAGGUUCAUUUUAUUUUAUUUUUAUUUUAUUUUUUGAAGUUAAGGCUGAAUCUCGGCUUCAGUGCUUUUUGGCAACGUCUCCACUGACAGGAACCAGCAAACUUCAGGACUCAAAUGAGCGUCUUAAUUUAUUGAUGCAAAACAGGUCUGCUUGUCGCCCCCAGUUCUCGGCGCGCUCUGUCCCCCACGCCCCCAGCUUCGGUCCCUUCAUUUGAUCUCAGGUGACUAUUUGGAAAGUGUAAAAAAUUCCUAAAGCACCCCUGCCCCACACGAAUCAAUUCAGAGAGAAACACCAUGCCCUGUGUUUUGUACAUGCUAAGCAAAUUCACAGCUUGAGUUGCUGGGUUGUUUUCUUCGCCAGGUUGCCCUAUUGCCUAGCAGGCCUGGCAGUGUAGAUGUGACCUAGAGAGAAUCAACGACUUUCUCCAGAAUUCAAGUGUCUGGUUCUUCACCGGCCUUUGAAUCUGCCAGAUCCAUCCUCCCAGCAGACGCCACAUACAGGUGACAUCCAAUGUCUUCUCACCUUUCGCAGACAUCCUUCUGAACCACUUGUGCCCACCCACUCUGCCCACUGCAUUGUGACCCACUUCCAAACCUCCUGGAUGACUUGAAAUCAAUGCUUACUGAGAACAAAGUUGCAAAAGUAAUACGGAAUUUCUUAACUUGUAGUAGAAAAUGUGGAGUGCUCAUGAUUAUAAGCAUCACGAUUCUAACCUCUGAGGGGUCGAGAGGCAUCAAAGAAAACAGUUUACGAGCUGAGACGAGGUCAUGUAUGAACUCCAGAGACGGCCAGUGAAAGUUGUGAAGGAGAUAAAGCAAAAUGCCCCACCAAUUUUGACCACCUUCACGAGGAGAAUCAGAGAAGGCGUGAAUUCUGAGCAUCUUCACCAGGAGAUCCAUGGCAGAUAACACUGGAAAUUGGGAAGAAAUCAACUGAAAAAACAAACUUACAAUGCAUUUAGAAAGAAACAACUGUUCUUUUGCUAAUCUACGUUUUAAUCUCAAAGAUGUGAAGACGAAAGUGGAGAGUGAUUAAGCCCUGAAAGUCCCACUUCCUGUGAAAUUUCUCAGCACCAAGCAAACAGUCCCUUGCUCUCCAGAUGCGCUAUAAGAUACAUCCUGCAUCUAGCAUGUUGAAUGAUCUCCAAAAUCUCUGAUGCCUGAGCCAUGUCCUAUUGUCCAGAUUAAGACAUUUUUCCUUUAAAGCAGUACAGUAUAAAGGAUAUGGAGCUGUCAUAUUGACAGUAGUGGGCUGGGAGACUUCUGGCUCCAGCACAAUUCACUACUUGUGGAGAGCCAGGGCUAUUAGCUGCAGUGGUUGCCUUCAAGAAGCCUCUGAAGAUGGAAUAUUCUGGAGAUGUUAAGAGGGACACCCUUUCUGGUUGGAGGAAGACCAUUUUUAAGACAAAAGAAUAUGGGUGGCUGCGCUCCUCUGCUAGGACCUACACCAGAGUUAAUAUGAAAGCUUCACAUGUGAGAUAAAUGCACUCAAAGACUCCUCACAAGUAGCUCUUUGGAGCUUCAGAUGUGAAAUGGAUCAUUCCUCAAUCUGUAAUAGACCCUUCUGUGAAGCUCUUCAAUCAAACCUGAGAAUUCAAGGCAUUUUGUAGCAUCCUAAACAGAAGGAUAUUGAAGGGAGCUGAUUCUGCUUUGAUCCUUGUGCUUGUUGUCAAAGCGCUUGGGAUUGAAGAGACUGUUGGCUACAAUUGACUGUGACAAUUAGGAGAUGAUCAGAGCCCUAGAGUGGAGCACUUAAAGGGUUUGCAUUUAAAACAUUCUUGGAGCACUAAUUGUAUAAAAUUCUGGUAACUGCACAUUUUCUUUUUAGAGAGGUAAUGAGUGAAUGAAUGAAAAGGCAGGGAUUAUUUGCCAUUCUAAGCGGGGAUUGUCAGAACAUUUCUACUUGACUGAAAUUGUUUUGGAAGGUGAGCUGGAACAAGAAUCUUGCAACUAAAAUGAAGUGACUCUGCAUGUGGUUCUUGGGUGUUUCUCUUCAUCAAAGAAUUCUGCAGAACUGCUGAAUUACAAGUUGAUUUAAAUUUUAUUUAUGAGAGAAUAUUUAGGUGAAUCCAAAGAAAACAUUUUAGAGUAUGCAUAUUUGACUCUUAACAAGUAAAUAGGAGUCUUUGAGAGCUCAUUUGGAACUAUUUGAAAUGAGUUUUCCUAACACCAACAUGGUGUUUUUUUCAAUAUACAAAUUGCCAUGUUCUGACAAAAUAAAUUAUUGAAAUGCUUUGAAAAGUUUUUGGAAAUGUACCCAAGGAAACAAUAUGUAAAUUGUUUGAGUUAAUACACAUGUCAAUUUAUCAAAAUGCUGCCACUGAUGUAGAGAAUGUACUUGAGGACACGGGGAGGGGGAAGGGUAAACUGGGACGAAGCCAGAGAGUGUCAUGGAUUUAUAUAUACUACCAAAUGUA
Non-coding RNA from Delphinapterus leucas (beluga whale), 2585 nucleotides. The record is from RefSeq and is a predicted model, not a curated record. Lineage: Eukaryota; Metazoa; Chordata; Mammalia; Artiodactyla; Monodontidae.